Molecule: long non-coding RNA, 102 nt
Organism: Etheostoma spectabile (orangethroat darter)
Lineage: Eukaryota; Metazoa; Chordata; Actinopteri; Perciformes; Percidae
Exons: 3
Source: RefSeq, a predicted model, not a curated record
UAAAGGUUCUGUUGUUGCUGCUGAAAGACUCAGAUUAUUAUUCUAAGUGUGUGACAACAUUAUUAGGGGGGGAUCCCUACAGAAAUAGACCUUUUAGAUAGA